RNAcentral lists this ribosomal RNA (253 nucleotides) under uncultured bacterium. RNAcentral describes it as "partial 16S ribosomal RNA". It matches the Rfam family "Bacterial small subunit ribosomal RNA", at positions 524 to 776 of the family's 1533-position model. The record is from RNAcentral.
UACGGAGGGUGCGAGCGUUGUCCGGAUUUAUUGGGUUUAAAGGGUGCGUAGGCGGCUUUGUAAGUCAGUGGUGAAAGACGACAGCUCAACUGUCGAGGUGCCAUUGAUACUGCAGGGCUAGAGUACUGAUGAGGUAGGCGGAAUGGACGGUGUAGCGGUGAAAUGCUUAGAUAUCGUCCAGAACACCGAUAGCGAAGGCAGCUUACUAAGGAGUAACUGACGCUGAGGCACGAAAGUGUGGGGACCAAACAGG